GCCGACGUGCGACAAUGGUACUCGGGCGGUCUUGAGAACCGCUUUCCUUCGGGAUUUCCAGGUUCGAUUCCUGGCGUCGGCG
RNAcentral lists this transfer RNA (82 nucleotides) under Candidatus Pacearchaeota archaeon. RNAcentral's name for it is "tRNA-Ser". It matches the Rfam family "tRNA". Rfam says of the family: Transfer RNA (tRNA) molecules are approximately 80 nucleotides in length. The record is from RNAcentral. Lineage: Archaea; Nanobdellati.